Molecule: ribosomal RNA, 255 nt
Filed under: uncultured bacterium
Lineage: Bacteria
Description: partial 16S ribosomal RNA
Rfam family: Bacterial small subunit ribosomal RNA
Source: RNAcentral
UACGGGGGGGGGCAAGCGUUGUUCGGAAUUACUGGGCGUAAAGGGCUCGUAGGCGGCCAACUAAGUCGGAUGUGAAAUCCCCAAGCUUAACUUGGGAACUGCAUCCGAUACUGGAUGGCUUGAAUCCGGGAGAGGGAUGCAGAAUUCCAGGUGUAGCGGUGAAAUGCGUAGAUAUCUGGAGGAAUACCGGUGGCGAAGGCGGCAUCCUGGACCGGCAUUGACGCUGAGGAGCGAAAAGCUAGGGGAGCAAACGGG